Molecule: ribosomal RNA, 253 nt
Filed under: uncultured bacterium
Lineage: Bacteria
Description: partial 16S ribosomal RNA
Rfam family: Bacterial small subunit ribosomal RNA
Source: RNAcentral
UACGAAGGGGGCUAGCGUUGCUCGGAAUUACUGGGCGUAAAGCGCACGUAGGCGGCUUUCUAAGUUGGGGGUGAAAUCCUGGAGCUCAACUCCAGAACUGCCUUCGAUACUGGAGAGCUUGAGUCCGGGAGAGGUGAGUGGAACUGCGAGUGUAGAGGUGAAAUUCGUAGAUAUUCGCAAGAACACCAGUGGCGAAGGCGGCUCACUGGCCCGGUACUGACGCUGAGGUGCGAAAGCGUGGGGAGCAAACAGG